UCAGGAUGAACGCUGGCGGCGUGCCUAACACAUGCAAGUCGAGCGAUUCUCUUCGGAGAAGAGCGGCGGACGGGUGAGUAACGCGUGGGUAACCUGCCUCAUACACAUGGAUAACAUACCGAAAGGUAUGCUAAUACAGGAUAAUAUAAGAGAUUCACAUGGAUUUCUUAUCAAAGCUCCGGCGGUAUGAGAUGGACCCGCGUCUGAUUAGCUAGUUGGUAAGGUAACGGCUUACCAAGGCGACGAUCAGUAGCCGACCUGAGAGGGUGAUCGGCCACAUUGGAACUGAGACACGGUCCAAACUCCUACGGGAGGCAGCAGUGGGGAAUAUUGCACAAUGGGCGGAAGCCUGAUGCCAGCAACGCCGCGUGAGUGAUGAAGGCCUUCGGGUCGUAAAACUCUGUCCUCAAGGAAGAUAAUGACGGUACUUGAGGAGGAAGCCCCGGCUAACUACGUGCCAGCCGCAGC
RNAcentral lists this ribosomal RNA (468 nucleotides) under uncultured bacterium. RNAcentral's name for it is "bacterial SSU rRNA". It matches the Rfam family "Bacterial small subunit ribosomal RNA", at positions 24 to 518 of the family's 1533-position model. The record is from RNAcentral.